AUUAUUCUAGCUAUUUUAUUUAUUUCUUGGUCCAUUGUCUCUAUUAUUUAUAUUUUUUGUCCACUAUUCUCAAUUCCAUAAUCCCCCAUCAACGGCCUCUAGUUAAUGUCACCUUAUAGUCUUCACAAAUAAGCAAAAUUACUACCUUAUAGGCUCCUAAUGGCAAACCAAUUGAAGGCUUUAAUAUCCCAGUUUGAAUUGUGAAAUUGCGGAAAUUUUGAAAAUUUGAUCAAGCAAAAUACAUUAUCGUCCUCGUAGUUCGUAAAAUACUGGCAGAUGGACCUUUG
This 287-nucleotide long non-coding RNA is filed under the name Mytilus galloprovincialis (Mediterranean mussel). Lineage: Eukaryota; Metazoa; Mollusca; Bivalvia; Mytilida; Mytilidae. The record is from RNAcentral.